RNAcentral lists this ribosomal RNA (541 nucleotides) under Curvularia lunata. RNAcentral's name for it is "eukaryotic LSU rRNA". It matches the Rfam family "Eukaryotic large subunit ribosomal RNA", at positions 75 to 631 of the family's 3401-position model. RNAcentral also lists the same sequence under 1 other name. Lineage: Eukaryota; Fungi; Ascomycota; Dothideomycetes; Pleosporales; Pleosporaceae. The record is from RNAcentral.
UUGCCCUAGUAACGGCGAGUGAAGCGGCAACAGCUCAAAUUUGAAAUCUGGCUCUUUCAGAGUCCGAGUUGUAAUUUGCAGAGGGCGCUUUGGCUUUGGCAGCGGUCCAAGUUCCUUGGAACAGGACGUCACAGAGGGUGAGAAUCCCGUACGUGGUCGCUAGCUAUUGCCGUGUAAAGCCCCUUCGACGAGUCGAGUUGUUUGGGAAUGCAGCUCUAAAUGGGAGGUAAAUUUCUUCUAAAGCUAAAUAUUGGCCAGAGACCGAUAGCGCACAAGUAGAGUGAUCGAAAGAUGAAAAGCACUUUGGAAAGAGAGUCAAACAGCACGUGAAAUUGUUGAAAGGGAAGCGCUUGCAGCCAGACUUGCUUGCAGUUGCUCAUCCGGGCUUUUGCCCGGUGCACUCUUCUGUAGGCAGGCCAGCAUCAGUUUGGGCGGUGGGAUAAAGGUCUCUGUCACGUACCUUCCUUCGGGUUGGCCUUAUAGGGGAGACGCCAUACCACCAGCCUGGACUGAGGUCCGCGCAUCUGCUAGGAUGCUGGCG